This 535-nucleotide ribosomal RNA is filed under the name Trigonopterus sp. 808 AR-2022a. RNAcentral's name for it is "partial large subunit ribosomal RNA". The stretch from base 385 to 535 matches the Rfam family "Bacterial large subunit ribosomal RNA", at positions 2473 to 2625 of the family's 2925-position model. Lineage: Eukaryota; Metazoa; Arthropoda; Insecta; Coleoptera; Curculionidae. The record is from RNAcentral.
GGCCUAUUGAUUAUAAUUUUAGGUCGUACCUGCUCUAUGAGUAUUUAAAUGGCCGCGGUAUAUUGACCGUGCAAAGGUAGCAUAAUCAUUAGUUUUUUAAUUGGAAGCUUGUAUGAAAGGUUUAAUGAGAAAAUAGCUGUCUCUGAUAAAAUUUUAUUAGAAUUUUAUUUUUAAGUUAGAAAGCUUAAAUUUUUAUAGAAGACGAGAAGACCCUAUAGAGUUUUAUAUUUAUUUUAAUAUAAAUUUAUAAGUAUUAAAAAUUUAUUUUAAUAUAAAUAUUUAGUUGGGGUGAUUAAAAAAUUUAUUAAACUUUUUUUUUAUAGAGACACAAAUAUGUGAAAAGAUGAUCCUUAUAUAAAGAUUAAAAAAUUAAAUUACCUUAGGGAUAACAGCGUAAUCUUCUUUAGAGUUCUGAUCGAAUAGAAGGGUUGCGACCUCGAUGUUGGAUUAAAAUGAAUUUAUGGUGUAGAUGCUAUAUAAUUAGGUCUGUUCGACCUUUAAAAUUUUACAUGAUCUGAGUUUAAACCGGUGUGAG